ACAAAGACAAACCCUAGGUUUCCGUGCUCAACGUUUGACUGUUCGUCUUAUAUGAAAUUUUUUUAUAAUUAGUAUUUUUAUUGUUGUUAGAUGAUAAAACAUGAUUAAUAUUUUAUGCGUGACUUAUCUUUUUAAUUUAUUUUUAUAAUUUUUUUAAAUAAAACGGACGGUCAAAUGUUGGACAUGGAAACCUAGGGUUUGUCUUUUU
Oryza rufipogon (brownbeard rice) is the source of this 208-nucleotide microRNA precursor. It matches the Rfam family "MIR812 microRNA precursor family". The record is from Rfam. NCBI's taxonomy places the organism in Eukaryota, Viridiplantae, Streptophyta, Magnoliopsida, Poales, Poaceae.